This 600-nucleotide ribosomal RNA is filed under the name uncultured bacterium. RNAcentral describes it as "bacterial SSU rRNA". It matches the Rfam family "Bacterial small subunit ribosomal RNA", at positions 731 to 1337 of the family's 1533-position model. The record is from RNAcentral.
GGGCUUUAACUGACGCUGAGGCACGAAAGCGUGGGUAGCAAACAGGAUUAGAUACCCUGGUAGUCCACGCCGUAAACGAUGAUUACUAGGUGUGGGGGGACUGACCCCCUCCGUGCCGCAGUUAACACAAUAAGUAAUCCACCUGGGGAGUACGGCCGCAAGGUUGAAACUCAAAGGAAUUGACGGGGGCCCGCACAAGCAGUGGAGUAUGUGGUUUAAUUCGAAGCAACGCGAAGAACCUUACCAGGUCUUGACAUCCCGAUGACCGGUCUAGAGAUAGAUCUUUUCUUCGGAACAUUGGAGACAGGUGGUGCAUGGUUGUCGUCAGCUCGUGUCGUGAGAUGUUGGGUUAAGUCCCGCAACGAGCGCAACCCUUGCUAUUAGUUGCUACGCAAGAGCACUCUAAUAGGACUGCCGUUGACAAAACGGAGGAAGGUGGGGACGACGUCAAAUCAUCAUGCCCCUUAUGACCUGGGCUACACACGUACUACAAUGGUCGUCAACAGAGGGCGGCGACACCGCGAGGUGAAGCGAAUCCCAAAAAACGAUCUCAGUUCAGAUUGCAGGCUGAAACUCGCCUGUAUGAAGAUGGAAUUGCUA